AAGUCGUAACAAGGUUUCCGUAGGUGAACCUGCGGAAGGAUCAUUAAUAGAAAUAAAACCCUGCUUUAAGGAGUGAUCCUUGAGGUAGGUGAGAGGGUUGGUAACCUCUCAAUCUUGUAGCUUUUUUUGCUCUGGUCUACAAGUUAAAAAAAGAAAGCUGUAAUUGAGGACAGUGUCCAAUGUUGCAGACCACUCUUAUAUUAAUGUUAUACAAAAUCUAUAACAACUUUUGACAAUGGAUCUCUUGGCUCUCUA
RNAcentral lists this unclassified non-coding RNA (255 nucleotides) under fungal sp. Its description in RNAcentral is "partial internal transcribed spacer region". The stretch from base 1 to 46 matches the Rfam family "Eukaryotic small subunit ribosomal RNA", at positions 1786 to 1831 of the family's 1831-position model. Lineage: Eukaryota; Fungi. The record is from RNAcentral.